UACAGAGGUCUCAAGCGUUGUUCGGAUUCAUUGGGCGUAAAGAGCGUGUAGGCGGCCAGGUAGGUCGGUUGUGAAAACUGGAGGCUCAACCUUCAGAGGUCGACCGAAACCAUCUGGCUAGAGUCCGGGAGAGGAGAGUGGAAUUCCUGGUGUAGCGGUGAAAUGCGCAGAUAUCAGGAGGAACACCGGUGGCGAAGGCGGGUCUCUGGGCCGAUACUGACGCUGAGGAGCGAAAGCGUGGGGAGCGAACAGG
This 253-nucleotide ribosomal RNA is filed under the name uncultured bacterium. RNAcentral's name for it is "partial 16S ribosomal RNA". It matches the Rfam family "Bacterial small subunit ribosomal RNA", at positions 524 to 776 of the family's 1533-position model. The record is from RNAcentral.